RNAcentral lists this ribosomal RNA (300 nucleotides) under uncultured bacterium. RNAcentral's name for it is "bacterial SSU rRNA". It matches the Rfam family "Bacterial small subunit ribosomal RNA", at positions 335 to 652 of the family's 1533-position model. The record is from RNAcentral.
UAUCCUACGGGGGGCAGCAGUGGGGGAUAUUGCACAAUGGGGGGAACCCUGAUGCAGCGACGCCGCGUGGGUGAAGAAGCGCCUCGGCGCGUAAAGCCCUGUCAGCAGGGAAGAAAAUGACGGUACCCGAAGAAGAAGCCCCGGCUAACUACGUGCCAGCAGCCGCGGUAAUACGUAGGGGGCAAGCGUUAUCCGGAUUUACUGGGUGUAAAGGGUGCGUAGGCGGCUUGGCAAGUCAGUAGUGAAAUCCAUGGGCUUAACCCAUGAACUGCUAUUGAAACUGUCGAGCUUGAGUGCAGU